RNAcentral lists this ribosomal RNA (222 nucleotides) under uncultured bacterium. RNAcentral describes it as "partial 16S ribosomal RNA". It matches the Rfam family "Bacterial small subunit ribosomal RNA", at positions 128 to 334 of the family's 1533-position model. The record is from RNAcentral.
GCCCUUCAGAGGGGGACAACAGUUGGAAACGACUGCUAAUACCGCAUACGAUCCAAUCUCGGCAUCGAGACUGGAUGAAAGGUGGCCUCUAUUUAUAAGCUAUCGCUGAAGGAGGGGAUUGCGUCUGAUUAGCUAGUUGGAGGGGUAACGGCCCACCAAGGCGAUGAUCAGUAGCCGGUCUGAGAGGAUGAACGGCCACAUUGGGACUGAGACACGGCCCAG